This 1230-nucleotide ribosomal RNA is filed under the name Triticum aestivum (bread wheat). RNAcentral's name for it is "partial small subunit ribosomal RNA". Lineage: Eukaryota; Viridiplantae; Streptophyta; Magnoliopsida; Poales; Poaceae. The record is from RNAcentral.
AUGCCGGCGCGUAAAGCGCCUGGACCAGAUGGAUUCACCGCGGAGUUUCUGCGUGCCUGCUGGAGCAUCAUUCGCCAUGACAUAUGGGACGUUUUCGAGCGGCUUUACACGCUGCGCGGCCGCGGGUUCAGUAAGCUUAACCAAGCGCUGCUGACCCUGCUGCCUAAGCGCGCGGACGCCCACUCGCUUGGUGACUACCGGCCGAUAUGCCUGAUCCACAUUGUGGCCAAGAUCGUCUCGAAGGUCCUAUCGUUGCGCCUUGCCCCCAAGCUGGAUACCCUUGUAAGCAGCAACCAAAAUGCAUUCAUUGCCGGGCGCAGCCUCCAUGACAACUUCGUCCUAGUCCGGCAGUCCCUCAAGAUGCUGCACCAACUUGGCGCACCCAGGAUCAUGCUCAAGCUCGACCUCACACGUGCCUUCGACUCCAUCUCGUGGCCCUUCCUCUUUGAGGUGCUGCGCAAGUAUGGAUUUGGGGACCGAUUCCGGGAGUGGAUGGCCAUCCUGCUCUCCUCGGCAAGCACACGGGUCACCCUUGGGAGGCUGAUGCGACACGCCCUACAGACCGGCAUCCUUCAGCAGCUGCAUCCCCGACGAGCCAUUCCGGCGAUCUCUCUUUACGCCGAUGAUGUGAUGAUGUUCUGUCAUGCCACUACUGAGGAGAUCGCCGCUGUCAAAGGCAUCCUGGACGUGUUCGGUACGGCUUCUGGGCUCCGUGUGAACUACGCCAAGAGCUCGGCCACGAUCCUUCACGCCGGCGACUACGAAGCGGGGCUGCUGGAGUCCCUCGGGUGCCCCAUCGUGGCCUUGCCGGUUACCUACCUGGGCAUCCCGCUCUCCACUCGCCGCCCAUCCGCAGCACAGCUGCAACCCCUCGUCGACGCGGUGGCGGGUCGGCUGCCUUCCUGGAAAGCUUGGCUGAUGAACAAAGCGGGACGGCUAGCGCUCGUCAAAUCGGUGCUUAAUGCAAUACCGAUCCAUCAACUACUAGCGCUUGCGCCCCCAAAGAAAACCCUCAAACAAUUAGAGAAGAUUCAGCGCGGGUUUCUUUGGGCCGGCCGCGCGGAUGCCCACGGUGGACAUUGCCACGUCAACUGGCGUAAGGUUUGCCGCCCGCUUGAAUAUGGCGGCCUUGGCAUCCGGGACCUCGAGCGCACGGGGCUAUCACUUCGGCUGCGCUGGCUAUGGCUCACGCGCACGGACACUACUCGAGCCUGGCAGGGGCUGGACAUG